GUGAAUAACUCUGGUGGUAUACGAUGGUUCCGCGUCUGAUUAGCUAGUUGGUGGGGUAAUGGCCUACCAAGGCAACGAUCAGUAGCCGGCCUGAGAGGGUGAACGGCCACAUUGGGACUGAGACACGGCCCAAACUCCUACGGAAGGCAGCAG
Molecule: ribosomal RNA, 153 nt
Filed under: uncultured bacterium
Lineage: Bacteria
Description: partial 16S ribosomal RNA
Rfam family: Bacterial small subunit ribosomal RNA
Source: RNAcentral